AACGCGUAUGCAAUCUACCUUUUGCUAAGGGAUAGCCCAGAGAAAUUUGGAUUAAUACCUUUAUAGUAUGAUUACUUGGCAUCAAGAUAUCAUUAAAGGUUACGGCAAAAGAUGAGCAUGCGUUCUAUUAGCUAGUUGGUGUGGUAACGGCAUACCAAGGCAACGAUAGAUAGGGGUCCUGAGAGGGAGAUCCCCCACACUGGUACUGAGACACGGACCAGACUCCUACGGGAGGCAGCAGUGAGGAAUAUUGGACAAUGGAGGUAACUCUGAUCCAGCCAUGCCGCGUGCAGGAAGACUGCCCUAUGGGUUGUAAACUGCUUUUAUACAGGAAGAAACACCUCUACGUGUAGAGAUUUGACGGUACUGUAAGAAUAAGGAUCGGCUAACUCCGUGCCAGCAGCCGCGGUAAUACGGAGGAUCCAAGCGUUAUCCGGAAUCAUUGGGUUUAAAGGGUCCGUAGGUGGAUAAUUAAGUCAGAGGUGAAAUCCUGCAGCUUAACUGUAGAAUUGCCUUUGAUACUGGUUGUCUUGAGUUAUUAUGAAGUGGUUAGAAUAUGUAGUGUAGCGGUGAAAUGCAUAGAUAUUACAUAGAAUACCAAUUGCGAAGGCAGAUCACUAAUAAUAUACUGACACUGAUGGACGAAAGCGUGGGGAGCGAACAGGAUUAGAUACCCUGGUAGUCCACGCCGUAAACGAUGGUCACUAGCUGUUCGGAUUUCGAUCUGAGUGGCUAAGCGAAAGUGAUAAGUGACCCACCUGGGGGAGUACGUUCGCAAGAAUGAAACUCAAAGGAAUUGACGGGGGCCCGCACAAGCGGUGGAGCAUGUGGUUUAAUUCGAUGAUACGCGAGGAACCUUACCAGGGCUUAAAUGUGGUUUGACAGCUUUAGAGAUAGAGUUUUCUUCGGACAGAUCACAAGGUGCUGCAUGGUUGUCGUCAGCUCGUGCCGUGAGGUGUCAGGUUAAGUCCUAUAACGAGCGCAACCCCUGUUGUUAGUUGCCAGCGAGUAAUGUCGGGAACUCUAGCAAGACUGCCGGU
RNAcentral lists this ribosomal RNA (1040 nucleotides) under Mesoflavibacter zeaxanthinifaciens. Its description in RNAcentral is "bacterial SSU rRNA". It matches the Rfam family "Bacterial small subunit ribosomal RNA", at positions 112 to 1156 of the family's 1533-position model. The record is from RNAcentral. Lineage: Bacteria; Pseudomonadati; Bacteroidota; Flavobacteriia; Flavobacteriales; Flavobacteriaceae.